This 504-nucleotide long non-coding RNA is filed under the name Mytilus galloprovincialis (Mediterranean mussel). Lineage: Eukaryota; Metazoa; Mollusca; Bivalvia; Mytilida; Mytilidae. The record is from RNAcentral.
AAAAUAUUAUUUUAGUUAAGAAAAGCUAACCACAGUUAAAUUAAUGUGUUAAAACUAAAUCCAACAGGCUUUUUCUUUGAUUAAGAAAAGAAGAAAAAAACACACCUUAAAUCAUUGUGAACAAAUAUUGUUCUUUAGGUAUUUUUUUAGCAAUUUCGAAAGGGCCAAACUAAAUAGACUAUGCAAUGAAUAUGUGCCACAGUUUUUGUUACCUAUUUUUGUUUUGAUUAUUAUCUGGAGUGUUCUGAAUUCAAUCAGUUUUGUAAGUUAGAAGUCCUUAGAUUUGAAAAGAAAACAACAUCUCAUUCUGUGACACCAUCAUAACAAAAGAUCUAAGCAAAGAUAGCCGUUAAUAUUCUCUGUAUGAGAUUGAGAUUAGUAUGAAAAUACUUUAUUUCUGUUUCAUAAACACUCAUUUUACAUUUGUUUGACAUAAUGAUCAUUUUUUAGAGCAAAAGUUUAAAGAUUGAAGUGAAGAUCAACAAAUUAAUCAUCCCAAUGAGC